AGAGUUUGAUCCUGGCUCAGGAUGAACGCUAGCUACAGGCUUAACACAUGCAAGUCGAGGGGCAGCAUGGUCUUAGCUUGCUAAGGCCGAUGGCGACCGGCGCACGGGUGAGUAACGCGUACCCAACCUGCCUUACACUCUUGGACAGCCUUCUGAAAGGGAGAUUAAUACAAGAUGUUAUCAUGAGUAAGCAUUUUCCACAUGAUUAAAGGUUUACCGGUGUAAGAUGGGGAUGCGUUCCAUUAG
RNAcentral lists this ribosomal RNA (246 nucleotides) under uncultured bacterium. RNAcentral's name for it is "partial 16S ribosomal RNA". It matches the Rfam family "Bacterial small subunit ribosomal RNA", at positions 8 to 244 of the family's 1533-position model. The record is from RNAcentral.